UACAUUGAGAAAUAUUGCUCUGUCUGUACA
This 30-nucleotide non-coding RNA is filed under the name Rattus norvegicus (Norway rat). The record is from RNAcentral. Lineage: Eukaryota; Metazoa; Chordata; Mammalia; Rodentia; Muridae.